Molecule: non-coding RNA, 101 nt
Organism: Gossypium raimondii (Peruvian cotton)
Lineage: Eukaryota; Viridiplantae; Streptophyta; Magnoliopsida; Malvales; Malvaceae
Source: Rfam
GUGAUUUAUGGAUGAACUGGUUCCUGAUACCUAAUAGCCAUUUGAAUUACUUAGUCUGUUGCCUCUCUUGGUGACUUAUUGAUCAUUGGGAUGGAACACGC